Ornithorhynchus anatinus (platypus) is the source of this 701-nucleotide long non-coding RNA. RefSeq lists it as uncharacterized. The record is from RefSeq and is a predicted model, not a curated record. The transcript has 2 exons. NCBI's taxonomy places the organism in Eukaryota, Metazoa, Chordata, Mammalia, Monotremata, Ornithorhynchidae.
CUGAAUCCUCCAUGUGACCGCUGCUCUGGGGCCUGCCGUCGACUCGGGUAUUUAAAGCGGCAACAGACAAGGUCAGCGCGGGCCCUGCUGCCGACGCUUCUGAAGAUGCAGCGAACAAACGUUGCUGAAAAGCUCAAGAUUCUGAAAAAAUAUCUAUGUCUAUCCCAUCCCCAGAGCUCGGACCACAGUUUCCACGGCAGCGAUUGAAGCCGCCCGAUGAUUCGGUGAAAUGCGCCUGCUGUUCGGGGAGGGGCAGAAAGCCUUCGGAAUUGGUUUUUGGUUGGGCCACCGCUCUGCUGCUCUGCUGGAUGCUGAGAAGAUCCUGAAAUGUGCCCUUGCUGUGAAGGAGACGUCAAGCUCUAAGCGAAUCUAAAAAUAAACCGCUGUGUAUUGAUUAACGGAGCUGGAGCAGGCAGUGAUGAAUUAGCGAUAAGGAAAUGAGCCCAAGCCAAUCUCUGGAGCAUUUUUUUUUUCUGAACUGAACUGCAGGAAAACCAGGCCAGGCCUCAGAGCAGCCGGGGACCCUGCUUUCAGGGGACUGGGAGUUAAUCAUUGAUCAGUAAUGGGCUGGUUGAGGGGGUAAAGGGAGGGAAAAAAUGAGGGAGGGAGACACAUUCUGUGCUAAAACAACCUAAUUUGUAAACAUUAUUUUCUCAGAUGGGCAGAAAGACUGAUUAAAUCCCACCUUCAGGAUGAAAGGA